RNAcentral lists this ribosomal RNA (246 nucleotides) under uncultured bacterium. Its description in RNAcentral is "partial 16S ribosomal RNA". It matches the Rfam family "Bacterial small subunit ribosomal RNA", at positions 524 to 771 of the family's 1533-position model. The record is from RNAcentral.
UACGGAGGGAGCUAGCGUUGUUCGGAAUUACUGGGCGUAAAGCGCACGUAGGCGGCUUUCUAAGUCGGGGGUGAAAUCCUGGAGCUCAACUCCAGAACUGCCUUCGAUACUGGAGCUUGAGUCCGGGAGAGGUGAGUGGAACUGCGAGUGUAGAGGUGAAAUUCGUAGAUAUUCGCAAGAACACCAGUGGCGAAGGCGGCUCACUGGCCCGGUACUGACGCUGAGGUGCGAAAGCGUGGGGAGCAA